AUGAGUCAAGUGUUUAGCACUUUGAAGGGAUUUGAUGUCUUAAAAAUUAUGAGUUACAGUGUUGGAAGCGUUAUUGCAAAUUUUGAACUGAUCAUCGCUAAUUCCAUCCUGCCACAAGACCUGAUGCAAAAAUCACAAUUUCUGACCAGCAAACUGUCGGCCUCACUUAACUUCAUAACUUUAGGUGUGGUCCAGUUAAGUAGCCCACCCAACCCUGUGUGUUACAACUGGAAGCAUAAUGUCAGCUGCUCAGUGCAGGGGGACCUGAAGAACAAACCAUUGUGGCAGCUGUUAAAACAGGACAACGCGUUUGAAAUAACUAAUGGCACUGGGUCAGAAGUGACAACAACAAAUGGAAGCACAGUUACACUUAAAAACAUAACAGAAUUCUGGGCAGGAGUAUAUACAUGUACCUAUAGUGACAUCAUGAAUCUAGUCACCAUAUCCCAUAAAGCCAGCACUGUAAUGGAUGUAUCCACCCUGCCAAACAUCGACAUCACUACAGAUCCAGGAUUUCCACGCUGUAAACAAGGAACAGAUCUAGUCAAAGUAAGGGUCAUCUGUGACAUUGGCAUAAGCAGUGAACCAUAUAAUGUGACAUGGGCAAGCCUAAACAUCAAGGCUCAACUAAAUGAAGUUAAAUCUGGUAAGUAUAUUUCUUUGUAUUCAUUUAAGUGAAGCUUCAUGAAAAUUAGAAACCUGAAAAAUUUAUGACACACAUAUGUGAUCCUUGCAGGUUCUCCUCGUUACGCAGUUGAUACGUAUGUUAGCUGUUCAUACCAAAGUGCACCAGAAGUAACCUGCACGUUUACGAACAGAUGCUCUCAAAAUCGAAGUGCUUCAGUCAAGAUCAUUAUCAUCUAUGGUAUGUUUUAAUAUUAGUUCAAAUAUUGUUGAAUUAUUUUCCAUUUUAUUUGGGUGUCCAAAUUCUCAGUGAGUUUUCUGUUUUAUGAAAUGAAUCCUUAGAUAAUCCUACUAUAAAAUGAAAGCUGUACCACAUGCAUAUAUAGUUUAGCUAAAAGGAUCUGAAAAGGGUCUGAAAUUUCAAUUUACCCUGAACGAUUCUGUUUCAUACACCAGUGAAUCCCCAGUCUGUGAUGUAAAGGCCAGUCACAUGCCUGGACAGUUUAACCUGUGAUGAAAUAUUCUAAAAUUAACAAUUAUUUAUUGCUUUUUACUUUUUCCAGAACGUUCAACCACAUCCAUCAGUUGUCUUUAAUGGAACACAGCUCAGUUGUUUAGCAGUCCCAUAGUAAAAAACUAGUGUUGAACCUGACGUAUGAUUCUCAGAGGUAUUUUUAAAGAUCUGAACUUGUGUCUUCUAUGGGGUUCCCUGAGCUCCAGGCUGGGAACCACCGAUGCAGAGAAUAUUGCUCCAGUGAAGAUGGGAGUGAUUUCAGACAGCAAAUAUUUGACAGGAAGUGAUAUAUGAAGUUUUUUUUGUACCUCUAUGGCCUUCACAUCCUCCAACUGAAUUUCAGAUUACCUUCUUGUUGUCCUGAAGUUAACUUUGCCCAUUUUUGAUCAUAUUAUCAUUAUUAUUAUUGUUGUUGUUUUAAUUAACUUUUUCUUCUUUUCAAAACAGUCAGUGAUUUAUUCUGUGAAUCUGAUGGUGACUGGAAAGACACCAAAGCUGGAUACGAUGCAGUGAUAAAAUGCCAGAAUGCACAUGGAACAAGACAAAGGACAUGCAAAAAAACGUAGGGCUACAACUAAUGAUUGUUUUUAUUAGUAAAUAAUUUGCUUAUUACUUUUUCAGUUUAUGUACCCCUGCCUCCCACCCAAAGAGAGCUGGGAUAGGCUCCAGCAGAUCCCCGUGACCCUGGUUAAGGAAUAAGCGGGUAUAGAAAAUGGAUGGAUGGAUUUUUCUAGUUUACCCAUUAUUUAUAUUGCCCAAAAUAGUGUAAAGUGCCAAUCACAGCAGUUUGUUUUGUGCAAAAUUUAAGUUUUGAAAAGGAUUUUUUUUUAUUGAUUUGAUUAAUGAUUAAUCCACUAAUCAUUUCAGAACACCUGCACAAUGGGAACAGGAGGAAUCUAACUGUGUGAACUUAGAUUUGAAGAGUGUGCUGCAAAGUGCAAUUGUAAGCCUAUCUUCAUUCUUUAAUAGUGAUAAACAAACCGACUAAUUUUUUGGAAAGCAACAAAUUAAAAUAGCAUAGGAUGCAAAAGCUCUAACC
Long non-coding RNA from Mastacembelus armatus (zig-zag eel), 2177 nucleotides. NCBI's taxonomy places the organism in Eukaryota, Metazoa, Chordata, Actinopteri, Synbranchiformes, Mastacembelidae. The record is from Ensembl.